RNAcentral lists this non-coding RNA (209 nucleotides) under Eubacterium sp. Its description in RNAcentral is "T-box sequence". It matches the Rfam family "T-box leader". From Rfam's summary of the family: Uncharged tRNA acts as the effector for transcription antitermination of genes in the T-box leader family. The record is from RNAcentral. Lineage: Bacteria; Bacillati; Bacillota; Clostridia; Eubacteriales; Eubacteriaceae.
AUAAAAGCGAAGAAAAAGACAUGUUUCUUAUCGGUGGAUGCAAAGAGAACAGGCGGUUGGUGGAAGUCCUGUGUGAAGCGAAAAGAAAAAUCACUUUGGAGCUUAUCAUCUGAAAACAGUAAGAUGAUACGGUUACAGCCGUUAUCUGUUUGAGUGCUAUUUUGAUAAGAAAUAGAACUAAGGUGGUACCACGUUCACGCGUCCUUAGA